GUCCUCGUAGGCUAACGGAUAGACCCCGGGAUUCCGGAUCCCGUGAUGCGAGUUCGAUUCUCGCCGAGGGCA
This 72-nucleotide transfer RNA is filed under the name Candidatus Daviesbacteria bacterium. RNAcentral's name for it is "tRNA-Arg". It matches the Rfam family "tRNA". Rfam says of the family: Transfer RNA (tRNA) molecules are approximately 80 nucleotides in length. Their secondary structure includes four short double-helical elements and three loops (D, anti-codon, and T loops). The record is from RNAcentral. Lineage: Bacteria; Candidatus Daviesiibacteriota.